Molecule: unclassified non-coding RNA, 24 nt
Filed under: Mus musculus (house mouse)
Lineage: Eukaryota; Metazoa; Chordata; Mammalia; Rodentia; Muridae
Description: oocyte_clustered_small_RNA9135
Source: RNAcentral
UGUCGGUUGCUAUGGAUACAUUGA